GAAAACAGAGAGGAAGAAGAAGAGAAUGAGGAGGGGAAAAGAGAGAGGAAGAAGAGAAUGAGGAGGGGAAAAGAGAGAAGAAGAAGAGAGUGCGGAGGGGGAAAGAGAGAGGAAGAAGAAGAGAAUGAGGAGGGGAAAAGAGAGAGGAAGAAGAAGAGAAUGAGGAGGGGAAAAGAGAGAGGAAGAAGAAGAGAAUGAGGAGGGGAAAAGAGAGAGGAAGAAGACGAGAAUGAGGAGGGGAAAAGAGAGAGGAAGAAGACGAGAAUGAGGAGGGGAAAAGAGAGAGGAGGAGGAAGAGAAUGAGGAGGGGAAAAGAAAGAGGAAGAAGAAGAGAAUGAGGAGGGGGAAAAGAGAGAGGAAGAAGAGAAUGAUGAGGGGAAAAGAGAGAGGAAGAAGAGAGUGAGGAGGAGGAAAAGAGAGAGGAAGAAGAAGAAUGGGGAGGGGGAAAAGAGAGAGGAGGAAGAGAAUGAUGAGGGGGAAA
Molecule: long non-coding RNA, 481 nt
Organism: Oncorhynchus tshawytscha (Chinook salmon)
Lineage: Eukaryota; Metazoa; Chordata; Actinopteri; Salmoniformes; Salmonidae
Source: Ensembl